This 439-nucleotide ribosomal RNA is filed under the name uncultured bacterium. RNAcentral describes it as "partial 16S ribosomal RNA". It matches the Rfam family "Bacterial small subunit ribosomal RNA", at positions 339 to 795 of the family's 1533-position model. The record is from RNAcentral.
CUACGGGCCGCUCCAGUGAGGAAUAUUGCACAAUGGGGGGAACCCUGAUGCAGCAACGCCGCGUGGAGGAUGACGCAUUUCGGUGUGUAAACUCCUUUUAUAUGUCAAGAAAAUGACGGUAGCAUAUGAAUAAGCACCGGCUAACUCCGUGCCAGCAGCCGCGGUAAUACGGAGGGUGCAAGCGUUACUCGGAAUCACUGGGCGGAAAGGACGCGUAGGCGGGUUGGAAAGUCAGGUGUGAAAUCCUACAGCUUAACUGUAGAACUGCACUUGAAACUUCUAAUCUAGAGUAUGGGAGGGGGAGAUGGAAUUAGUGGUGUAGGGGUAAAAUCCGUAGAUAUCACUAGGAAUACCUAAAGCGAAGGCGAUCUCCUGGAACAUUACUGACGCUAAGGCGUGAAAGCGUGGGGAGCAAACAGGAUUAGAUACCCCUGUAGUC